GUAGGGAAUCUUGCGCAAUGGGCGAAAGCCUGACGCAGCCAUGCCGCGUGAAUGAUGAAGGUCUUAGGAUUGUAAAAUUCUUUCACCGGGGACGAUAAUGACGGUACCCGGAGAAGAAGCUCCGGCUAACUUCGUGCCAGCAGCCGCGGUAAUACGAAGGGGGCUAGCGUUGCUCGGAAUUACUGGGCGUAAAGGGCGCGUAGGCGGAUAUUUAAGUCGGGGGUGAAAGCCCGGGGCUCAACCUCGGAAUAGCCUUCGAUACUGGAUAUCUUGAGUACGGGAGAGGUGUGUGGAACUCCGAGUGUAGAGGUGAAUUUCGUAGAUAUUCGGAAGAACACCAGUGGCGAAGGCGACACACUGGCCCGUUACUGACGCUGAGGCGCGAAAGCGUGGGGAGCAAACAGGAUUAGAAACCCGGGUAGUCC
This 425-nucleotide ribosomal RNA is filed under the name uncultured bacterium. RNAcentral's name for it is "partial 16S ribosomal RNA". It matches the Rfam family "Bacterial small subunit ribosomal RNA", at positions 354 to 796 of the family's 1533-position model. The record is from RNAcentral.